Rattus norvegicus (Norway rat) is the source of this 789-nucleotide non-coding RNA. The record is from RefSeq and is a predicted model, not a curated record. Lineage: Eukaryota; Metazoa; Chordata; Mammalia; Rodentia; Muridae.
AGCUCUCUCUCCUGAAGUAUUCAUCGAUGGACCUUGAACCCACCUGGCUGGCCAGGCUCAUGUCACUGCCUCUGCCACUGCUACCAACUCUGCUACUAUUGCUGUUGUUGCCAUGGAAACUGACAAGAGACCCGGAACCUCUACUACCUGCCCUGCUCAGGCCACCCAAACUUCCUUGCUGCUCUUCUAAGUGCUGGAUACUUAUUUGCAUACUGAUGGAUGCUGACUGGGGCUGUGUCUGAAGGACAGAUGAUCAGGACUGCAGUCAUGAAGACUCACCACACCGACGGAUCUUCAUGAGGACAUUCAGACUGAUAGGAUUUGGUCCUGGAAUUUGUGCCUGUAUUUUGCCCUGGAUUGUUUUCCUUGAAUUUUUCGUCUGACACUGAAGGACCCUAGGACCUUUCGCCAGCCUUACACCAGCCGCCUCAGGUCAAGACUAGGCCAAGUACCUGCUUCCCACCAUGGGUCAAGGCUAGGCCAAGUUCCAUUCUCCACCCACAGUUGUCUUGAGGAGUAGGAACACUCUUGAAAAACUGCAAAAUGAACUAACUGAUAGUCAUCUGACCCUCUGAUCCCAGAUAGAGUUCGAAUGCAUGCCAUAUGCUAGCUAGCCAGUAGAUUCAAUAAGUUUAAACUGUAACCUUGCUGAUGUAACCUGUACCCCUAAAAAUAUAAGAACUGUUUGUUAUAGCCAUUCAGGGUCACCUUCUAGUCACUCAUCAGGAGGGGCUGAUUGAGGGUCGACCCUGAUGCGCCAGAAAAAUAAACCUCUGCAUUUGCAUCGAA